UACGUAGGGGGCUAGCGUUGUCCGGAAUCAUUGGGCGUAAAGAGCGUGUAGGCGGUCCGGUAAGUCCGCUGUGAAAGUCGGGGGCUCAACCCUCGAGUGCCGGUGGAUACUGUCGGGCUAGAGUGCGGAAGAGGCGAGUGGAAUUCCCAGUGUAGAGGUGAAAUUCGUAGAUAUUGGGAAGAACACCAAUGGCGAAGGCAGCUCUCUGGACCGUUACUGACGCUGAGGCGCGAAAGCGUGGGGAGCAAACAGG
Molecule: ribosomal RNA, 253 nt
Filed under: uncultured bacterium
Lineage: Bacteria
Description: partial 16S ribosomal RNA
Rfam family: Bacterial small subunit ribosomal RNA
Source: RNAcentral